RNAcentral lists this ribosomal RNA (856 nucleotides) under Gordonia sp. (in: high G+C Gram-positive bacteria). RNAcentral describes it as "bacterial SSU rRNA". It matches the Rfam family "Bacterial small subunit ribosomal RNA", at positions 9 to 873 of the family's 1533-position model. Lineage: Bacteria; Bacillati; Actinomycetota; Actinomycetes; Mycobacteriales; Gordoniaceae. The record is from RNAcentral.
CAGAAUUUUGAAUCUGGCUCAGGACGAACGCUGGCGGCGUGCUUAACACAUGCAAGUCGAACGGAAAGGCCCGCUUGCGGGUACUCGAGUGGCGAACGGGUGAGUAACACGUGGGUGAUCUGCCCUGGACUCUGGGAUAAGCCUGGGAAACUGGGUCUAAUACCGGAUAUGACCUUACAUCGCAUGGUGUUUGGUGGAAAGCUUUUGCGGUUCAGGAUGGGCCCGCGGCCUAUCAGCUUGUUGGUGGGGUAAUGGCCUACCAAGGCGACGACGGGUAGCCGACCUGAGAGGGUGAUCGGCCACACUGGGACUGAGACACGGCCCAGACUCCUACGGGAGGCAGCAGUGGGGAAUAUUGCACAAUGGGCGCAAGCCUGAUGCAGCGACGCCGCGUGAGGGAUGACGGCCUUCGGGUUGUAAACCUCUUUCACCAGGGACGAAGCGCAAGUGACGGUACCUGGAGAAGAAGCACCGGCCAACUACGUGCCAGCAGCCGCGGUAAUACGUAGGGUGCGAGCGUUGUCCGGAAUUACUGGGCGUAAAGAGCUCGUAGGCGGUUUGUCGCGUCGUCUGUGAAAUUCUGCAACUCAAUUGUAGGCGUGCAGGCGAUACGGGCAGACUUGAGUACUACAGGGGAGACUGGAAUUCCUGGUGUAGCGGUGAAAUGCGCAGAUAUCAGGAGGAACACCGGUGGCGAAGGCGGGUCUCUGGGUAGUAACUGACGCUGAGGAGCGAAAGCGUGGGUAGCGAACAGGAUUAGAUACCCUGGUAGUCCACGCCGUAAACGGUGGGUACUAGGUGUGGGGCUCAUUUCACGAGUUCCGUGCCGUAGCUAACGCAUUAAAGGACCCCCCGG